UGCCGGUGGACAAACCGGAGGAAGGUGGGGAUGACGUCAAGUCAUCAUGGCCCUUACGGCCUGGGCUACACACGUGCUACAAUGGUCGGUACAAAGGGUUGCCAAGCCGCGAGGUGGAGCUAAUCCCAUAAAACCGAUCGUAGUCCGGAUCGCAGUCUGCAACUCGACUGCGUGAAGUCGGAAUCGCUAGUAAUCGUGAAUCAGAAUGUCACGGUGAAUACGUUCCCGGGCCUU
This 234-nucleotide ribosomal RNA is filed under the name uncultured Pseudomonas sp. Its description in RNAcentral is "partial 16S ribosomal RNA". It matches the Rfam family "Bacterial small subunit ribosomal RNA", at positions 1150 to 1382 of the family's 1533-position model. The record is from RNAcentral. Lineage: Bacteria; Pseudomonadati; Pseudomonadota; Gammaproteobacteria; Pseudomonadales; Pseudomonadaceae.